AAAGGGGGGGGCUCUUCGGGAACCUCGUUGCCUAGAGAUUAGCCCAAGUGAGAUUAGCUAGUUGGUGAGGUAAUGGGCUCACCAAGGCGACGAUCUCUAGCUGGUUUGAGAGGAUGAUCAGCCACACUGGGACUGAGACACGGCCCAG
RNAcentral lists this ribosomal RNA (148 nucleotides) under uncultured bacterium. RNAcentral describes it as "partial 16S ribosomal RNA". It matches the Rfam family "Bacterial small subunit ribosomal RNA", at positions 188 to 334 of the family's 1533-position model. The record is from RNAcentral.